This 230-nucleotide ribosomal RNA is filed under the name uncultured bacterium. Its description in RNAcentral is "partial 16S ribosomal RNA". It matches the Rfam family "Bacterial small subunit ribosomal RNA", at positions 103 to 334 of the family's 1533-position model. The record is from RNAcentral.
CGGGUGAGUAACGCGUGGAUAACCUGCCUCACACUGGGGAUAACAGUUAGAAAUGACUGCUAAUACCGCAUAAGCGCGCAGUACCGCAUGGUACAGUGUGAAAAACUCCGGUGGUGUGAGAUGGAUCCGCGUCUGAUUAGCCAGUUGGCGGGGUAACGGCCCACCAAAGCGACGAUCAGUAGCCGACCUGAGAGGGUGACCGGCCACAUUGGGACUGAGACACGGCCCAA